GAAAUGCGAUACGUAAUGUGAAUUGCAGAAUUCAGUGAAUCAUCGAGUCUUUGAACGCACAUUGCGCCCCCUGGUAUUCCGGGGGGGCAUGCCUGUCCGAGCGUCAUUGCUGCCCUCAAGCACGGCUUGUGUGUUGGGCCCCCGUCCCCCCCCCAAGGGGACGGGCCCGAAAGGCAGCGGCGGCACCGUGUCCGGUCCUCGAGCGUAUGGGAAGCAACUUUUUGUCACCCGCUCCUGUAGGUCCGGCCGGCGGCCUGCCCAACCCCAACCUUUUUUUCAACCAGGUUGACCUCGGAUCAGGUAGGGAUACCCGCUGAACUUAAGC
Molecule: unclassified non-coding RNA, 325 nt
Filed under: plant metagenome
Description: partial contains 5.8S ribosomal RNA, internal transcribed spacer 2, and large subunit ribosomal RNA
Rfam family: 5.8S ribosomal RNA (bases 1-106)
Source: RNAcentral